GGUGGACACAAUAUCCUUAUUUUUUUUUUAAUGUGGUGCUGAGAAUCGAACCCAGUGCCUCACGCAUGCUAGGCGAGUGAACAACCACUUAAGCUGUAUAUCCCCAGCCCCAAAACUUGCACCUUCUUAACAUAUGCUAUUCAAUAAGCUUCAAUAUGUGUAGAGCUAUUACUAAGGUAUCCAAUCCAUCACCUCCAAAAAUUUUCUUGUGUUCCUUUGUUUUGUUUUGUUAAGUUGUGGUAAGAACAUUUGAUAUGAGAGCAACUCUUAUCAAAAUUUUCAAUGUACAAUAUUGUAUUAUUAUCUACAGGUACUACGUUGUAAGAAGAUUUCCAGGACUUAUUCAUAACUCUAACUUUAUAUUCAUUGAAAAGUUCUUCCUUCCUCCUCCCCUUAUCCCUGGCCACCACCAGCUGUUUUUCUGCUUCUAGCACUCUGACUAUUAGAUACAGUGCGUAUCCUUGUGCACUGUUAAUGCAGCUACUAUGGAAAGCAGUUCUCAUGGUCAACAGCUUAUUACCCCCAACACCAUCUGCUAAAUUACUAUUCAUUUCAAAUUUCCCUUUAAUUAUCAACACCAGGAGAAAACUCUCUGAAACUCUUGGGCAAUUUAAAAAACUAACACCAGUAAUUGAUCUGUUUUUUUGAUACACCUUUUUUCCUACACUAAUAAUAAGCUCUUAUUAGGAUUUGAUUUCAGAAUGAUUAGUCUGUCAGAAAGACUACUUUUCAUAAACUCAUAAGUGUUGACAGAUUAAACCCAAUGAUUAUCAGAGUUUGGGCUAUUCCUGUUUUUAUACAGAACUCACAGUCCAGUAAAGGUACACAUAGAAACUCAUUAGGCAAAACAGUUGAGAGUGGAACUUCGGGAUCAAGAGUCCACUGAAGAAGGGGGCUGGGAAGGUCAAUCCUCAGACCUUUGCUCAACCCCUUAUGCACACAUAGAGGACCUAGUGUAUCCCUAGAGCUUAAAGUAAAGGCACAGAUUUAAAUCCAUUAAAUCAGACAAUCCAAUGG
Molecule: long non-coding RNA, 1017 nt
Filed under: Marmota monax (woodchuck)
Lineage: Eukaryota; Metazoa; Chordata; Mammalia; Rodentia; Sciuridae
Source: RNAcentral